RNAcentral lists this small RNA (128 nucleotides) under Geosporobacter ferrireducens. RNAcentral describes it as "c-di-AMP sequence". It matches the Rfam family "c-di-AMP riboswitch aptamer (ydaO/yuaA leader)". From Rfam's summary of the family: This family represents a conserved RNA structure found upstream of the ydaO and yuaA genes in Bacillus subtilis and related genes in other bacteria. The ydaO/yuaA element is thought to act as a genetic "off" switch for the ydaO and yuaA genes in its native state. It is believed that the element may be triggered during osmotic shock leading to activation of ydaO, a predicted amino acid transporter gene, and members of the yuaA-yubG operon which code for KtrA and KtrB K+ transporters. Lineage: Bacteria; Bacillati; Bacillota; Clostridia; Peptostreptococcales; Thermotaleaceae. The record is from Rfam by way of RNAcentral.
CUGAAAAGUUUGCCGAAUUCCAACAUGGAAGCGGGGGAACCAACUAUUGGGGCGAAUUCCGAAAGGAUCGGAUACUCUUUCAAUCCAAGCCCGUCAGCUAACCUCGUAGGUGUAGAAAGAGAGACAUG